ACCUGGUAGUCCACGCUGUAAACGAUGUCGAUUUGGAGUUUGGGGGCAUGACCCUUGGGCUCCGGAGCUAACGCGUUAAAUCGACCGCUGGGGAGUACGGCCGCAAGGUUAAAACUCAAAUGAAUUGACGGGGGCCCGCACAAGCGGUGGAGCAUGUGGUUUAAUUCGAUGCAACGCGAAGAACCUUACCUGGUCUUGACAUCCAUAGAAUCUUUCAGAGAUGAGAGAGUGCCUUCGGGAGCUAUGAGACAGGUGCUGCAUGGCUGUCGUCAGCUCGUGUUGUGAAAUGUUGGGUUAAGUCCCGCAACGAGCGCAACCCCUAUCCUUUGUUGCCAGCACGUAAUGGUGGGAACUCAAAGGAGACUGCCGUUGAUAAAGCGGAGGAAGGUGGGGACGACGUCAAGUCAUCAUGGCCCUUACGACCAGGGCUACACACGUGCUACAAUGGCGUAUACAAAGGGAUGCGAAGGUGCGAACUGGAGCGGACCUCACAAAGUACGUCUAAGUCCGGAUUGGAGUCUGCAACUCGACUCCAUGAAGUCGGAAUCGCUAGUAAUCGUGAAUCAGAAUGUCACGGUGAAUACGUUCCCGGGCCUUGUACACACCGCCCGUCACACCAUGGGAGUGGGUUGCACCAGAAGUAGAUAGCUUAACCUUCGGGAGGGCGUUUACCACGGUGUGGUUCAUGACUGGGGUGAAGUCGUAACAAGGUAACCA
This 717-nucleotide ribosomal RNA is filed under the name uncultured Enterobacteriaceae bacterium. RNAcentral's name for it is "bacterial SSU rRNA". It matches the Rfam family "Bacterial small subunit ribosomal RNA", at positions 785 to 1502 of the family's 1533-position model. The record is from RNAcentral. Lineage: Bacteria; Pseudomonadati; Pseudomonadota; Gammaproteobacteria; Enterobacterales; Enterobacteriaceae.